Molecule: long non-coding RNA, 421 nt
Organism: Oreochromis aureus
Lineage: Eukaryota; Metazoa; Chordata; Actinopteri; Cichliformes; Cichlidae
Exons: 3
Source: RefSeq, a predicted model, not a curated record
GGUUUUCACCACGUGUUGUAGAUAGUUCAGGAGGGUAACUCGACCAAGCAGUCUACUUUCAGAUUUUGUAUCUUUGAGGUUCAUAAUUGUCUCUGUGGGAUUGGCAGCACUUUCAAUAACAGCUGUGACAGUCAACAUGUGGACAAAAACUAAAGGGAAGAAAACACAGAUGGAUAAAAACACAGUAAGUACAAAACUCAGUAAUCCAACGUAACAAAAACUUCUAAAUGUUGUAUUUCUGAUACUGUAAACGACAUUUCAGAAAUUAUUUUGAAUUUGUUGAGCAAAAUGUGGUUCAGCAGACGACUGAGAGUCAGAAGUUUAUAAGUGAAAGGUUGUUGGUUUGAACCCCACAUGUGAGGGUUUGCUUUGGGAAAGUGGAUCAUUGAUGCUGUCAUCUGCCUUUAAAUUAUCACUGAAA